Molecule: long non-coding RNA, 1047 nt
Organism: Esox lucius (northern pike)
Lineage: Eukaryota; Metazoa; Chordata; Actinopteri; Esociformes; Esocidae
Source: Ensembl
CUGGCCAGCUCUCCUUGUGUAACGGCUCAUCUCCUGGUAUCUCCUCUAUGCUCUUGAGACUGUACUAGGAGACGCAGCAAACCUUCUAGCGACAGCACAUAUGGAUUAGCCAUCCUGGAGGAGCUGGACUGCCUGUGCAAACUGAAUGGGCUGCAGGGCUCAAGGACAAUUUAUCCUGGAGGACUCUGGAGACGGUUGCAGUGUUCCGACGGACCCGAAGGGCUGCGACCUCUGCUGUGAAAAAAGCAAAACAGCGGGUGUGGUAGGAGUUUGAGGAAGCCAUGGAGAAGGACUUUCGGUCGGCACCAAGGUGCUUCUGGAAAACCAUCCGCCACGGGGAACUAUCCAAGCUGGAUGGAACACUGUUGACCUCAACUGAGGAGGUAAUUGGGCGAUGGAAGGAAAACUUUGAGGAACUCCUAAAUCCCACUAACACGCCCUCUAUAGUGGAGGCAGAGCUGGAGGCUGAAGGGGAAGCAUUGUCAAUAUCCAUGGCAGAAGUCACUGAGGUAGUCAAACAACUCCACAGUGGCAAAGCUCCGGGGAUUGACGAGAUCCGUCCAGAAAAGUUGAAAGCUUUGGGUGUGGAGGGGAUGUCUUGGAUGACACGCCUCUUCAACAUUGCGUGGGAGUCGGGGACAGUGCCAAAGGAGUGGCGGACCGGGGUGAUGGUUCCCCUGUUCAAAAAGGGGGACCAGAGGAUGUGUGCCAAUUACAGGGGUAUCACACUUCUCAGCCUCCCUGGGAAAGUCUACUCAAAGGUACUGGAAAGGAGGGUUCGGCAGAUAGUUGAACCUCAGAUUGAAGAGGAACAAUGUGGAUUCCCUCCUGGUCACCGAACAACCAACCAGCUCUUGCAAGGAUACUGGAGGGGGCCUGGGAAUAUGCCCAUCCAGUCAUCCAUGUGUUUUGUGGAUCUGGAGAAAGCGUAUGACCGGGUCCCCAGGAGAUACUGCGGGAGGUGCUGGGAGUAUGGGGUGAGGAGGUCCCUUCUGAGGGCUAUCCAGUGCCUGUACGUCCAAAGUGAGAGCUUUGUUUGGAUUAUCG